UGCAGUCGAGCGAACAGAUAAGGAGCUUGCUCCUUUGACGUUAGCGGCGGACGGGUGAGUAACACGUGGGUAACCUACCUAUAAGACUGGAAUAACUCCGGGAAACCGGGGCUAAUGCCGGAUAACAUUUAGAACCGCAUGGUUCUAAAGUGAAAGAUGGUUUUGCUAUCACUUAUAGAUGGACCCGCGCCGUAUUAGCUAGUUGGUAAGGUAACGGCUUACCAAGGCAACGAUACGUAGCCGACCUGAGAGGGUGAUCGGCCACACUGGAACUGAGACACGGUCCAGACUCCUACGGGAGGCAGCAGUAGGGAAUCUUCCGCAAUGGGCGAAAGCCUGACGGAGCAACGCCGCGUGAGUGAUGAAGGGUUUCGGCUCGUAAAACUCUGUUAUUAGGGAAGAACAAACGUGUAAGUAACUGUGCACGUCUUGACGGUACCUAAUCAGAAAGCCACGGCUAACUACGUGCCAGCAGCCGCGGUAAUACGUAGGUGGCAAGCGUUAUCCGGAAUUAUUGGGCGUAAAGCGCGCGUAGGCGGUUUCUUAAGUCUGAUGUGAAAGCCCACGGCUCAACCGUGGAGGGUCAUUGGAAACUGGGAGACUUGAGUGCAGAAGAGGAAAGUGGAAUUCCAUGUGUAGCGGUGAAAUGCGCAGAGAUAUGGAGGAACACCAGUGGCGAAGGCGACUUUCUGGUCUGUAACUGACGCUGAUGUGCGAAAGCGUGGGGAUCAAACAGGAUUAGAUACCCUGGUAGUCCACGCCGUAAACGAUGAGUGCUAAGUG
RNAcentral lists this ribosomal RNA (783 nucleotides) under uncultured Staphylococcus sp. Its description in RNAcentral is "bacterial SSU rRNA". It matches the Rfam family "Bacterial small subunit ribosomal RNA", at positions 56 to 822 of the family's 1533-position model. Lineage: Bacteria; Bacillati; Bacillota; Bacilli; Caryophanales; Staphylococcaceae. The record is from RNAcentral.